GAAAUGCGAUACUUAAUGUGAAACGCAAUCCAGUGUGAAUCAUCGAGGUUUCGAACGCAUAUUGCGCUCUCGGAGUCACCUCUGGGAGCAUACCUGUUUGAGAAUCGUUUAAUCUGUCCAAAUCCAGCAGCAAUCAAAUCUGAUUGCCUGCCUGCAUUUGGGAUGUGAGAGCUCUCAUUCCAGCGCCGAAAGGCAGGGACGAGUCUCUUAAAGCUGAGAACCGCAUUAUGGCCGUGUGGCCACUCCCGGCAGCCCUGUCAUGUGGAGCUCUCAUGUACCGAUGUGUCGCAGUGAUUUAUCACUAGCACGAUGUCAUUGGGAAGGGGGCACUGGUCAGGGCUGGUGGCGGGUAAGAUGCGUGCUACAAUCUAUAUAUUCAUCACAAUUGCGAUCUCAAAUC
RNAcentral lists this unclassified non-coding RNA (400 nucleotides) under uncultured fungus. RNAcentral's name for it is "sequence contains ITS1". The stretch from base 1 to 107 matches the Rfam family "5.8S ribosomal RNA", at positions 50 to 154 of the family's 154-position model. Lineage: Eukaryota; Fungi. The record is from RNAcentral.